Molecule: small nuclear RNA, 105 nt
Organism: Otolemur garnettii (small-eared galago)
Lineage: Eukaryota; Metazoa; Chordata; Mammalia; Primates; Galagidae
Source: Ensembl
AUGCUCACUUUAGCAGCACAUAUAAUAAAAUUGGAAUGAUAGAGAAGAUUAGCAUGGCCCCUGUGCAAGGAUGACAUGCAAAUUUGUGAAGCUUUCCAUAUUUUU